This 74-nucleotide transfer RNA is filed under the name Candidatus Paracaedibacteraceae bacterium. RNAcentral's name for it is "tRNA-Gln". It matches the Rfam family "tRNA". From Rfam's summary of the family: Transfer RNA (tRNA) molecules are approximately 80 nucleotides in length. The record is from RNAcentral. Lineage: Bacteria; Pseudomonadati; Pseudomonadota; Alphaproteobacteria; Holosporales; Candidatus Paracaedibacteraceae.
UGGGGGAUAGUUUAGCGGUAGAACUCCCGACUCUGGAUCGGGCAACUCUGGUUCGAAUCCAGGUCUCCCAGCCA